UACGGGGGGAGCAAGCGUUGUUCGGAUUUACUGGGCGUAAAGGGCGCGUAGGCGGUCACUACAAGUCAGUUGUGAAAUCUCUGGGCUUAACUCAGAACGGUCAACUGAUACUGUCGGACUAGAGUGCAGAAGGGGCAACUGGAAUUCUCGGUGUAGCGGUGAAAUGCGUAGAUAUCGAGAGGAACACCUGCGGCGAAGGCGGGUUGCUGGGCUGACACUGACGCUGAGGCGCGAAAGCGUGGGUAGCAAACAGG
This 254-nucleotide ribosomal RNA is filed under the name uncultured bacterium. Its description in RNAcentral is "partial 16S ribosomal RNA". It matches the Rfam family "Bacterial small subunit ribosomal RNA", at positions 524 to 776 of the family's 1533-position model. The record is from RNAcentral.